CAUUGAAACACCGGUUCGCAUAUGGCCUCCUAAGUUAAGCAACAUCGAGCCUGGUCAGUACAUAGACGGGAGGCCGCUUGGGAAUACCAAGCGCUGUG
This is a non-coding RNA of Acanthosepion pharaonis, 98 nucleotides long. Lineage: Eukaryota; Metazoa; Mollusca; Cephalopoda; Sepiida; Sepiidae. The record is from the annotation of a GenBank genome assembly.